GAGCUGGCUCAUUAAAGUAUCGAACCAAAAAAUUCAGCUCGUGCUCGGCUCAUUAAUAAACGAGCCGAACACGAGGUGGCCAACGAAUAAUAAGUUAAAAAGAUUAUAUUGGAUAUAUAAAAAAAAUAAAUUUAUAAAAUCUUAUCUAUUAGACUUUGAUCUCAUGAUUGAAACUUUACAUAUAAAUAUGUCUUUUUAUAAUUAAGCUCGCCUUUAUGCUCUUAUUUUGCUAAAAAUCAAAUAAUAAAAAUAUAUAUUAUAUAUAUAAUUAUUUAUUUAUAUAUAUAAAUAUAAGAUGAAUAAAUUAUAUAAAUAUAAAAUAUAUGUAUUCGAGUUGUUAUCGAGGCAAACACGAGCGAGUUGACUCCAGCUCGUGUUCGGCUCGCUUACUAAGCGAACGAUUCGAUCUCGAGCUCAUUUUGAGCAGAACACGAGCUGGCUCGCGAACAGCGAACUAGAUUGCCACCCUAAUGGUGCACGUGGUAUACUUGUAAA
RNAcentral lists this long non-coding RNA (495 nucleotides) under Ananas comosus (pineapple). RNAcentral's name for it is "long non-coding RNA (ACOM_LNC014611)". Lineage: Eukaryota; Viridiplantae; Streptophyta; Magnoliopsida; Poales; Bromeliaceae. The record is from RNAcentral.